Thamnophis elegans (Western terrestrial garter snake) is the source of this 2105-nucleotide long non-coding RNA. RefSeq lists it as uncharacterized. The transcript is spliced from 3 exons. The record is from RefSeq and is a predicted model, not a curated record. Lineage: Eukaryota; Metazoa; Chordata; Lepidosauria; Squamata; Natricidae.
UUCAUUAACAACUUUCCCUCCAUGUGUUCAUUAUGUGAAUUGAAGCACAAUUUAGAUUCAACAGAGGUGCUACUGCUGGAGGAGUAGAUGAAAAUGAAUUUAGAAUUUUGGUGGGACUGCAUUCUUACUGAAGGAUCAGGCUCACAAAUUGGAACAAGAUGUAAAGGUUCACCAAAAGAGAAAAGUAUUGAAGGAUGUGCAAAUGUGGUCUAAGGAAGGAUUGUCUGCCUGCCUGCCUCCCUGCCCUCUCAAUAUCCGAAGCAAUUCUGAGCAGCUUAUAAAUUGAAUAACUGAAGAAGACUACAUCCUGCCAUCCCAAGAGUCCACCAGCCAAGCAUAAUUAUUAUCUUAAUUCUAACCAACAGCAAGGUUUUUUAAACUCAUGAGUUUUGGCCUUCCAGUUUUAGGAAAAAGCCUUGCUUUGCAGAGAAAGUAAAUACCUGAGAAAGGCUUGAACCAAAAGACCAUAAAUCAGGCUACUGUUUUUUGUUGCAUGCCUAUAUCUUUUCUUUAUGUCUAUGCUAUUUUAGAUAGGAGGGAAUGAUUUUAUUGUUGCAUGGAUUAAAUACUUGUCAACUGAAAUUCCUUAGUUCACUUCAUUUGAUUUCAAAUCAUCUAGAGAUGUACCAACUGAUCUAGAGCUGACCUUUUUCCCGUGCUCUUUAAUUUGCUGACUAUGCCCAUUCAUGCAAUAAUAUUUCCUUUUACAGUAGAUUAUUUUGAAUCAGCAAUUCUUAUGUGCUUUUCGUGUUCUUGUUACUGACAAAUGUUGGGCAAAACUAGGAUCUCUGCAGCAUUCAGCAUUUUUUAAAAGAAACAGGAAAUCAGCUAUGAACAUUGUGUAAAUUUAAAUGGAUAAUGCUGCUGUGUAGACAACUCCUGCAGAAUUGUAAAUCAACAUAAUGUAAAAAAAACAGGAAGAGAGGAUCUUUCGGGUUAUUCAGGAUAAAAUGUUUGUAUUUUAUUGCCAUAUCUUGUUUUGGGGUAUAUAUAGCCACAUACCCACAUCUGCUUGCCUUUGAAUAUUGACUCCUGGUGUCUUAAUGCAUAAGUCCAUGCAGUUUGCUUGGCAACAUUUUUCAAAAAUGAUUUUCUAUUGUUUUCUAGGAUGAGAAAGAAUUUCAUCAGAAUAUCACCUGGGUUCGCUUCAUGUCUAAAGCAAAACUAAAACUACCUUCCUAGUUCAGUGUCUUAAUCACUAUAUCAAACUGGUUCUCUAUGCCUUGGUAGAGCCUUAGAGAAUGGGUGGCUACCUGCACACCGUGCGAGGAGUCCAGACCAGCUUCCCCAGAGGCGCCUCCUAAGGAGUGGGAGCAACCUCAAGCACCGUGGUCUAGGGUACACAUUGAUUUUGCUGGCCCAGUUCAUGGCCAGACAUUCCUUGUAGUUGUGGACGCCUACUCAAAAUGGCUAGAGGUAAUCCUGAUGACCUCCACUACGGCAGAAGCGACCAUCAAGGUACUACGGAAACUUUUCUCCACACACCGCCUGCCCGACGUCCUGGUCUCUGACAAUGGGCCCCAAUUCACGGCCAUGCAAUUUGAGACCUUCUUAGCAGCACAGGGAAUCAGACAUGCUCUGGUCAUGCCAUUCCAUCCAGCCGCCAACGGUCAGACGGAGAGAAUGGUGAGAUCUGCAAAAGAGGCCCUAUCCAGGCUGGGCCCGGGAGAUUGGCAAACACGGGUUGACUACUAUUUGCUAAUUCAACAUAUCACGCCAAGUGCCAUUACAGGGAGAAGCCCCUCCAAGCUUCUCAUGGGUCGCCAGCUAAGGUCCCACUUAGACCGGCUACACCCAAACUAUUCUGCCACAUCACCCCGACUCCACAAGCAAAAUUUGGAACUUUAGCAUAGGGGAUGCAGUUUAUGCCCACAACUAUGCCAGGGAAACUCUAUGGAUUCCUGCCACAGUGAUAGACAUCACCGGGCCUCGCUCUUAUCUCAUAGAGCUCGAGGACGGUCAGAAUUUGAGAACCAAAUUCUCCGUGGCCGCCUCUCCAACUCCACGCUUAGGCAUCCAGAGGUAACUGGCGGGAAUAGAGGUUUAAUCUCAUUGGUCGAAGGGUCUGACAGUUCCCUAUAAAAGGGCUGCUGUCAGACUCAACC